Haliotis rufescens (red abalone) is the source of this 1319-nucleotide long non-coding RNA. RefSeq lists it as uncharacterized. The record is from RefSeq and is a predicted model, not a curated record. The transcript has 2 exons. Lineage: Eukaryota; Metazoa; Mollusca; Gastropoda; Lepetellida; Haliotidae.
UUAAGUGACUGUAAUACAGUAAAUAUGGCGUAAUAACAAAACUUCCUGUUUAGGGGGGGUGGUAUUUCACCGUAGAAGUUUUGUCGUAUUCAGAUAAGCAGUCAUGCCCAAGCAACCCUGUGCAGAUGGGUAGCUGUGAACCAUACACUACUCUCUACCACGCUGUGCUCAUAUACGAUAAGGAUGACGUAGACGACGUCUUGACACUACAAACACGUCUAAACAAUAUAGUUCUCCGUCACGAUAUAUCCGCGAAGGUGGCACUGCUGGAUGACAUAGAAGCCGACGGAGGAACGGAAAUCGCAUCAUUCGAUGCGUGUUUCAAACAAUGUGUUUUAUUCUUUUUAUACAUAACGAAACCAUUUAUGCAAAACCGCUAUGAUAAAUGGAAGCACGAAGUGGCACUGACUAAUUCCUUGGCACGUGGAUCUGAUAUAGACCGUGAACCUUUUGUUAUUCCGAUUUUCACGGACAAUAAAGAUACAGUAGGUUAUCUUAGAGAUAAACCUACGCUUACAGCUGUAUCUGGCAUCACAUAUCGCGGCUGUGAAUGGAAUCGGGGCGUGGAAAGAAGCUUCCGCAAAAACCUGGAGAAGGCACAAGAAAGACGGCAUGUCAAACUAAAUGGGACUCCAGUGGAUCAACUAGACUAACAUCUAGUCUCUGAAAUGAACAUAUCGUACAUAAAAAAACAAUCUUAAUAAAAAUAUAAUAAAAAGGAGCCCAGUGACUCUCUUCAUUUUCUGCAGUGAUCUAGACUUGCCAAACAUUAUAGACUUGCAUGGGCUGUAUUUGAUAUAUAUUUGUAUCAGGGUCUGUAAGACAGACUAUGGAUCAACCAGACUGACAACUUCUUUGAUGGACAUUUAGAAGUUGGAGUACUAAGUAAGGAUAAGAAUUUAUGGAUGAACAACUUCUUUAUUACAAUUAAGAGCAACGUUUCGGUGUAGGUUCUAACACCGUUAUCAAGCAAGUGACAGACUGACAGUUGAUGCAGUGUUCCAUUAACACAUCACACGAUCAGUUGUUCCUGUUUGGACAAUGACGUGUGACUUCUAACAAAGGUGGUGUGGUACUCACUGUGAAUAUUUCCUAGGGAGCUGACGAUGAAGUACGAAGGUACCCUAAUCCAUCAACAGUAGCAGGAAGUAUUGCCGCGCGCGCUUCGGCGUCAUGUAACGUGGCGUGGAGUUGCAUUACAUAAACGAGAAACUUUCUUUCGUCAACAUUAAGUAUUCUUAUGUGAUACAUAAAUCAUAAUAAACGUGUAUGUAUAUAUGAAUUUUUAUUCUUCAUAAUAAAUGCAUUUGUAAAUAUUA